RNAcentral lists this unclassified non-coding RNA (436 nucleotides) under Hevea brasiliensis (rubber tree). Lineage: Eukaryota; Viridiplantae; Streptophyta; Magnoliopsida; Malpighiales; Euphorbiaceae. The record is from RNAcentral.
UUUUUUUUUUUUUUAAUUUUCACACUUUUACAGUGCAUAACAAUUGGUAUCAAAGUUUUGGGAUAAUCUUGGUAAGUUUAAUUGAAGGUGAAACUAUUGUGACAUGUAGAAAGUUGCAUAUGCAACAAUGAUUAUCGUGAAGAGUUGAAAUUAAAAUGGAAUUCUUGAUGGAAAGUCAAGAAAGUUGAUGACAUGAAAAUUUCAAAGUAAAGAAGCAAGAUACACCCAAGAUGAAGAUUGAAAAAUAGAGAUUUGAAGGGUUUAAGCUUAAGUAUGGAAAUUUAAUAAUUUAAUAACAUCUAAGAAUUUGAGGUAUAUAAUAGUUAAUAAAUUUUGUGUCAAGGUGGAAAUUGUUAGAUUUAUGGCUCAAAAUCUUAGUUGAUUUGGAAGACCCUUUCUUAAUUUGAGAGGGAAAAAUAUUCCUCAAUAGGAUGGA